UAUUAUAGCUUUUAUUUUAUUGAAAUUACAAGCUAUGGAAAAUAUUUAGUUGUUCAAUGGAAGGGUAUUUUAGGAUUAAGAACAGAUUAUUUUGUGAUUUUUAUACCUCUUCUUCAAAUUGAAUGGGCAUUUUACUAAUUUAAUCUGGUCACAAAAAUUGGAUUUAAUAAAUUACUGUUCCUCCCAUGUUAUCAUGUAGUUGAGAAAAUGUCGACAUAUAUUAAUUUAUAUUUUUGCUUUGCUUUGCUUGUGACGUUUGCUUAUACUUGCGGACAUUUUUUAUCUAAGAUUCUUCAAAAUCAUAUUUUUUGAGCCGGGUGUGUUCUCCCGUACAAAGGAAUAUAGUUGCAAGGCAGAUAACUUUUGAAAGUUUCUUUUGAGUAUAUGAUGUGUUAAACACCGUCAAUUUUACCUAUAGCAGAGAGCCUUAGAAAACUCUCGGCAUUAUGAGAACAAAACGAUGUUGACCACUGGCGCAACUCAACUUUUCGCAACAUGCUCUUUCUGAUCGCUGAUCGAGUCGCUGUCCGACACAGGAAAUUAUCAUAAUCUUUACUUAUGUGCUUAGAGUCGGAUGGAAAAACCUAAAUACACAAGAAUACCCUCCAUUACGCAAACACUGCAAGUAAUUGAUGCUGUUAUCAGGACCAGUUGGAAUUGGACAUUUGCUGUGGUUCGAAUAAAGGGAUCAUUUCCAUGGGAAAACAAACAAUUCUUAAUCGCAACUUUAAUAAAAUACAAAUAGAAAAUACAGCAGAAUAAAUUUCUUGCUCAAUUCUAACUGCUGAUACAUAUAUUUUCCCAAACAUGUUUUAGUUUGUAUGGCCAAAAUUAUACAUCUUCAGACAAUCCAGAUCACUAAUGCAACUUUUUACUA
Molecule: long non-coding RNA, 877 nt
Organism: Dendroctonus ponderosae (mountain pine beetle)
Lineage: Eukaryota; Metazoa; Arthropoda; Insecta; Coleoptera; Curculionidae
Exons: 3
Source: RefSeq, a predicted model, not a curated record